RNAcentral lists this long non-coding RNA (1748 nucleotides) under Marmota monax (woodchuck). Lineage: Eukaryota; Metazoa; Chordata; Mammalia; Rodentia; Sciuridae. The record is from RNAcentral.
AUUUAUUGUGGUGCUAUUUUUAUGUGGUGCUGAGGAUUGAACCCAGUGCCUCACACGUGCUAGGCAAGCACUCUACCGCUAAACCACAACCCCAGCUCUAAUCUAGACCUCUCCUACAGUCUGGAAGCUCCUAGGAGGCAAAACCUGUAUUUCAUUCUCUUUCCCCUCUCUGUCCUAGCCCAGUGCCUGGUUCAGGAAUGUUUGUUGGCUCCAGCCUUGGGGACGGUUUGUAAGGAGGGGUGAAUUACAGGUCUACUCAGAGUGACCCACUCUCUGCAAACUAUAUACAAACUGCUCUUACAAAAAACUGUUCCUCAGUGGGAGGAGAAAAUGCAGUUUCAUUGCAAGGAUGAGGUACAAGUCGGCCUGGUAGGUCUGCAGCUUUCUAGCCAUUCCUGUAGACUAUGAGAGAAGCAAUCUCCUGGCUGCAGACAGAGAUCAAUAAUCCAAGGGGACAGGUGAGUGUUCAGAGGCCCAACUUCCGAGCAAACAGUGACUUUGAAAGAUGAGAAAACAGUGCCGACCAACACAACUGAGAGAGGUCAGAGGCAGCACUUUGUGCCAACAAAUAAGAAUGUGGAGAAAUGGUAGAAGAGGUGCCUCCUCUGGUAGGAAUCUUCUGUGUGAGGUUUCGAGAUGCCCUUGUCAUCAUGAGGGAAUCCAAGGAGGUCUGGAAGCUGCCUCGACUCAGUCCUUCUAGGUUCUUGACUGUGUGACAGAACAGAUUUUAAGGAUGGGUCAGGUUUCAACAGAGAGGAAGAGCUUUCUUAGAAAGUGAAAGGCAAGCCCCUCUGGUGAUGCAUAUCUGUUAUCCCAGCUACUCAGAAGACUGAGGCAGGAGGCCAGCGUGGACAACUUAGCAAGACCUUGUCUCAAAUAAAAAAUAAAUAAAAAGGGCUGGACAUGUAGCUCAGUGAUAGAGUACCCUGGGGUUCAAUCCCCAGUAACUCACUCCCUCAAAUUGAGAUGCACCCCCAUGGUUUAAUGUUGAGUUUUUAUUAGGGCAUACAAUGAAGUGGAAUAUGUAUGAUCCAAAAGGGCUGGACUUUUCUCAUGGCUGGGAAAUAUUGAGCAAGGUCGUGUAUCCCCAUUAGGAGGUCUGGUCUGGUAUGUAGGUUUCAGCUUACGUUAAGAUCUCUGGUGGUUGGUGGAGGUGAUUUGUGUGAUCGGACAAGAUCACACAAAUGGUUUGACCAGAUGUUAGCUCUCGUCUCCUGAGGUUACCUGUCUCUUUCUAUUGAGGUCUUGUUCCUGUUUUGCAACAUUCCAGAAAACUUAUAGGGAACUAGAAAGUGACAGAGAGUCAUUUUAUGAACUGUGUAAUAUGUCCUUACAUUUUGGCCCUUUUCUGUCCUUUGAGAUUCUUUGUACACAGUUCACAAGUUGUUCCAAGUUGUUUAUUCUAUAUUUUAACAGGAAUAUUUUUCCUAAAGAGACUUUCCUAAAGAGUUCUUUGCAUAUAUCUACAUUUGUAUCUCACCCUCAAGUAACAGGCAUGGUACUUCCUGAGAAGCCGACAUUCAUCUUAAUGCAGGACUCAGUGUCCACCUGGGCCAGACUCCCUGUCCUUGCAGCACACAGGACAAGGCUGGCAAACCAGCACAAAAUAUCCGAGCAGACACCUCAGAUCUCCUACCCUGGGAGCCUGGAGUGCAGACAGACAGUGUGGUACCCAAUCUCUUUAAAAGGAUUUUAUAAAAUCUCUUUAAAAGGAUUUUAUACCAUUUCCAUUUAGAUUUACAAAGUGG